CCACCUCUGAAAGAGGGAGAAAAUGCAGAUAAGACAGGUAUCAGAUAAUGCCUAUCUGCACAAGAUAGAUCCUUUCAUUUGACAGUAAUCUAGUCAUUGGGAGUUCCAAUAAGGCUAGUCUAUAAUUACAAUCUUCUUACAAAUUUUCAUUAUUUGCUUAGAGAAGUCACAUUGCCAUUCCACUGCAGAAGAAACUGCCUGUGAUGCAAGAGCAAAGAACCACCUCAAAGUCAAAAAGUGAACCAAAAGAUAAGGUUCAUUUCAAUGCCCAGCUGCCUCUGAUCGCAUGGCCAUUGAACUUCUGUGUGAGGAACAAACGUUUGACUCGUCCCUGGGACUGUGUACUGAUUUGCCUCAGUUCUACACAGGGGCAGAGACAGCGAGCCUCUACCCUGUGCCUCACACUGUGCUGGAAGUGGGACUGUAUCUGUGAGUGCAGAUGGGACCCUUGAUCGUCUGUGGACAGAUACAUCUGUGCAAGAAAUUGUGCUCCUGUUUUCUCUUAAAUUUGAGACCUUCACACCCACCACAGGCUGGAUUCUCUGAGGGCAUUUGAAGAAUUGUAGAUUGGAUUGUUGUGGUACCACAGGGAAUGGUCGUUUCUGAUCACUCUUAAAGACUGAGUUCCUGUUCCUGACUAAUUGUAGGUAGGCAACCUACAUUUGCAUCAUUCUGCUUUAUUUAUUUUCACAAUUUAAUGAUUUUCUGUUGAAUUCUGUUAACUGUGAAAUUGAAUGUACUGUCACUUUGUGUAUAUAUGUGCAUUUUGAGACUGUA
RNAcentral lists this long non-coding RNA (777 nucleotides) under Fukomys damarensis (Damara mole-rat). RNAcentral describes it as "lncRNA (ENSFDAG00000027443.1)". Lineage: Eukaryota; Metazoa; Chordata; Mammalia; Rodentia; Bathyergidae. The record is from RNAcentral.